This 193-nucleotide ribosomal RNA is filed under the name Idaea aversata. RNAcentral's name for it is "partial large subunit ribosomal RNA". Lineage: Eukaryota; Metazoa; Arthropoda; Insecta; Lepidoptera; Geometridae. The record is from RNAcentral.
UGGGACGAGAAGACCCUAUAGAGUUUUAUAGUUUAUAAUUUAAUUUAUUUUGUAUUAAUAAAAAAAUUAAAUAAAUUUAUAAUUAUUUUAUUGGGGUGAUAAAAAAAUAUAAUUAACUUUUUUUUUAAAAAUUCAUAUAUAAGUGAUUAAAUGAUCCAUAAAUAAUGAUUAAAAGAAAAAAUUACCUUAGGGA